Molecule: long non-coding RNA, 1656 nt
Organism: Dermacentor albipictus
Lineage: Eukaryota; Metazoa; Arthropoda; Arachnida; Ixodida; Ixodidae
Source: RefSeq, a predicted model, not a curated record
UCAUCAUUAGCAGCCGCGAUCCCGUGUUCGAGCCAGCGCGUGGGCCGGAGCACGCGUUGUUCCAGCCGGGCCUUGGCCAGGAUCAACGAGCGGUCGAUGCAAAAGCUCCACCCAUCAUGAAGAUGUGUUCGACCAUGGAGUGAAAAGCAACUGUGUCCCGGCCUCCCAUGGCUUCGCGGAACCGCAGAAGAUAUCGAAGGGCAGGCUUGCCAUUCGGGGGCGCCCCAUCCCAACCCUCGUUCCACCACGGAAUGAGUGGAGGGGGGGACGAUUACCCUGAAUGGCAAGACCUGCGACAGAAACUGAACUUCAUCAGGAGCCACCGACAAGAGCAGUCGCAGCACAGACCGGCAGAUUCCCCCGAUACACAGCUUGGCUCUAGUAAAACAAGUGCUCAUGGCUUGGAGGAACCACGUGGGCCAGAAAUACAAGUCCCAAUUGUAAGAAAACGCACACGGAUUACAAGCGAGGAGGAGUCAAAAAACAGAGAGAACGAUACCACAGAGAGUAAAACUGCUCAUCAAAUAAACACACGUGAAGAGCAACACGGCGCAGUUGGCAAGAUCUGGCACAGCAGCGUGAUGACAGACUCUUGUAAUAACCUGAUCAUGGGCAAGACCAUGGAGAGCCACCAGUCACCGCACAUGCAUCAUGAACUUCUACUCACCAAAGACAACCUCCACGGAAGGUUGAGUAGGGCUAAAGCACCAUAUUUCCGUGGCUCGGAAGAACGACAAACAUCAAUGAUCAAUACGCAAGUGGCAAAAAAGCAUCCUCUGUCUAAGAGCGAGGGCGAUUCUGAAUGCGUGGUGAGCGACAAUGAAGAGGAAGAAAUUUUUCAUCAACCGCGCACGGAUGAACACCGCCGCAACAUCGUCUGCAAAACCUGGAACAAGGACCUAAUCGCAAAGCCUGAUCAUGACCUGACCGCCUUUCAUUAUCGACGGCCUUCCCUAUACACGGAUACUGCGGACGACGCGCCAGAUUACAUGAAUGUGAAGCACGAAACGUGCCACAACGACCCUCAACACAGCAAGGCGGCCAAGCGCCCGCGCAUCGACACCACUGGCCUCAAAAAGGAGGAACUCGAAAGACAGAAGGAAGUCACAGAACCCCAAGACAAAAACGAGUAUUGUCUGCGAUGGCUUCAGUGGGGCGUCGGAAGGGCAGAGGCAGAAGACGUGGACUUACCCCACGACCAGGGCAGCCACACUCCGAGGAGGCGCCGCAGGAGCGCGCAGGCGAUGGUCUCGGACUGCCGCCACGAUCAGUGGCGGAUCGACGACGAAAUGGGCGCCGAUGCGGAGAGUAGCAGCAGCGAGCACGAACCAAAAAGGCAAAAACUGCAAAGUCCGGACCAUUUCUGUGCUCAACCGCAGGAUAGACCCUCUUCCGAGGCUCGAUCUGAGGACCAGCAGGUACUACAAGAGUUGCUGGAACGUUUCAAGAGGCUUUGCAAGCCACCUUAACACCGACCGUCGCUGCCGCGUGGACGCCGGUGCACGCUUGUUGCCCUUAAGCUUGCCAGUGACACUGCCCCACGUGAUACAGCAUGCCUUUGUCUAGUGCUGACAAUUCCGCGAGAACUCGAAGAUGUCUGAGAACUUCUUCUUCUAUAACUGAACAAAAAUAAAGUCGUCCAGUGAUUACAUUGGU